ACUCCUACGGGAGGCAGCAGUGGGAAUAUUGACAAUAGGGAACCGGACUGAUGCAGCCAUGCCGCGUGUGUGAAGAAGGCCUUCGGGUUGUAAAGCACUUUCAGUAGGGAGGAAGGUAGUGUAGUUAACACCUGCAUUAUUUGACGUUACCUACAGAAGAAGCACCGGCUAACUCCGUGCCAGCAGCCGCGGUAAUACGGAGGGUGCGAGCGUUAAUCGGAAUUACUGGGCGUAAAGCGCAUGCAGGCGGCCUGUUAAGUCAGAUGUGAAAGCCCGGGGCUUAACCUCGGAAUUGCAUUUGAAACUGGCAGGCUAGAGUCUUGUAGAGGGGGUGAGAAUUGAUCAGGUG
This 349-nucleotide ribosomal RNA is filed under the name uncultured bacterium. Its description in RNAcentral is "bacterial SSU rRNA". It matches the Rfam family "Bacterial small subunit ribosomal RNA", at positions 335 to 677 of the family's 1533-position model. The record is from RNAcentral.